This 460-nucleotide ribosomal RNA is filed under the name uncultured bacterium. Its description in RNAcentral is "partial 16S ribosomal RNA". It matches the Rfam family "Bacterial small subunit ribosomal RNA", at positions 338 to 795 of the family's 1533-position model. The record is from RNAcentral.
CCUACGGGAGGCAGCAGUGAGGAAUAUUGGUCAAUGGUCGGGAGACUGAACCAGCCAAGCCGCGUGAGGGAGGAAGGUACAGAGUAUUGUAAACCUCUUUUGUCAGGGAACAAAGACUGGGACGCGUCCCCGGAUGAGUGUACCUGAAGAAAAAGCAUCGGCUAACUCCGUGCCAGCAGCCGCGGUAAUACGGAGGAUGCAAGCGUUAACCGGAUUUACUGGGUGUAAAGGGAGCGUAGACGGCAGCACAAGUCUGGAGUGAAAUGCCGGGGCUUAACCCCGGAACUGCUGUGGAAACUGGGCAGCUUGAGUGCAGGAGAGGUAAGUGGAAUUCCUAGUGUAGCGGUGAAAUGCGUAGAUAUUAGGAAGAACACCAGUGGCGAAGGCAGCUUACUGGACUGUAACUGACGUUGAGGCUCGAAAGCGUGGGGAGCAAACAGGAUUAGAUACCCGGGUAGUC